UUAACGCAAAUUUGUAUGGAGUUGUAACGUUUGCCUAAGUUUGCCGCUAGGGGCGCUGUUCCAACUGCAUACAAAAUUGGGUUA
RNAcentral lists this microRNA precursor (84 nucleotides) under Bombyx mori (domestic silkworm). Its description in RNAcentral is "mir-2807 microRNA precursor family". It matches the Rfam family "mir-2807 microRNA precursor family". Lineage: Eukaryota; Metazoa; Arthropoda; Insecta; Lepidoptera; Bombycidae. The record is from Rfam by way of RNAcentral.